AUGGGCACAAUAGGGAAUUGGCCACAACAAGUGGGAAUUGUCAAGAAGGUUAAGAAGCUAUACAUGGAGCACUUGAUAAAAGGAGGCGAUAUAAUCUUAUAAAUAGAUCAAAAUGGGUGGAUCAUCUACACCAAGCAGUUUUGUCGUAGUGGAUGGUAAGAAGGCCAAAAUAUUUGGUGCAGCCGCUAAAACUAGCUAAGAGUGAUCGGGUUAAGGACAGCC
Molecule: long non-coding RNA, 222 nt
Filed under: Elaeis guineensis (African oil palm)
Lineage: Eukaryota; Viridiplantae; Streptophyta; Magnoliopsida; Arecales; Arecaceae
Description: long non-coding RNA (EGUI_LNC026517)
Source: RNAcentral